CAGGAGAAACAAACUUUUGUUGUGAUAAUCAGGCUAAUCCGGGGGGACUAAAACUGCAGGGCAGAGAGACCAGUAAGUGUUGGGGGGUCCCGAUCCAGUCCCCAGCUUCUAGCCGCCCACCCCCUUAAGGCUGCCAUUGCUGGGAGCCCCCUCCAUCUGCAACUUCAACUUGUAAAGAUUGUAGAUAAAACCUGUACAGCUGGGUGCCUUAGGGCAAAAAGUUACACACAGGUACAUGAAAUACGUUAUGAAAGAAAACAUGCAAAAGAAACCCCAGUGGGUAAAACCAGGGAACAAAAGCCUGAGCAGCCAAAACCCCAGCCAGCUGUUGCUCCCACAAAGAGGGAAGAGUUACAAUAUCUCAUCCUUCACAUUUCUCCUAGGAACUACCAGGGCCUGAUGAAAUUGGGGCAGAUUGAAAAGUGUGAAAAUAUUUUUGAAAAGAAAAAACAUCCACAACUUGAUUCCAUUUUAUUGACAGCAUCAUUAUUGGUACUCGCCUGGCUUGCCUUCUCUGGCAGAAGAGAGGCAGACAGAGGAGGAUGAGGACCACCAGCUGUGCCCCCACAAGACUGGGCUCCGGGCCAAUCCUCCAGAUAUCUGAGACCCACAUCCUUCCCCAGAUCAACCGCCUUCAAAGUGGACCAGACCCACAUCCCUCCCCAGAAUGACCAUCCGUGACCUGGGCAGCGCAGCCAGCUCAGCCAGGAAGGAGAACUCUUGAAACUUUCUUUGGCUUUUCAUCUCCCUGUUCUUCCCCUAAUUGUUGGGGGCUGAAAAUACCUGGCCGUGGGAAGCGAAGAGGCAGGCCCUGGAUUCUACCUCUCGGGAGCCCACAGCUCACCCCCAGACGGUCGCCUACGGCCUGAGGGAGAGCUGCAUUCGGGUCUGACUGUGGUGUGUUGGUCAAGGUGUCGGAUUCUCACUCGGGGCGGGAGAGAGUGCGGAGAAGACCUUGGAAAGGUGAAGUCGGGGGCAGGACUUUUUCAGGGACAGCGAUGGACAGCUGCUGCUCUCUUGACAUUGGACGUCAGGGAGGGACUCCAUGAUGGACACAGGAAUGGGUGAGUAGACCUAACUAAAAACCCUCCCUAUCCCUCUUUGCGUCGUCUCUGCCUGGAUGUUAGACCCUAUCUACGCGGAUUCAGUCCGUGCGUGGGAGUGUGCUUCCCAACCCAAACUAAUAUAGGAAAUGGCUAAAGGUCACCAGAUUCUUUUCCCAAGUCCAAGAUGGCCACCUGACAGAUAACCCAAAAGGUACAUGCCUUUCUUCCCUUCUUUCAGGAAAAUUUGGCCGGGGCAACCAGCAUUUUACACACCCGGAGACUGGUGUUAAGGAAAAGUUAGCACAUGUGACUCCAUUUUGGUUUGGGGCCCACCAUUGUUUAAAUGCCAGCACAUCAUACACCAGGAGGAGUGAUCCUUAGAUACUGAAUCCCUGUGAAAAUCCUCCU
Molecule: long non-coding RNA, 1454 nt
Organism: Chelonia mydas (Green sea turtle)
Lineage: Eukaryota; Metazoa; Chordata; Testudines; Cheloniidae
Exons: 3
Source: RefSeq, a predicted model, not a curated record